This 506-nucleotide ribosomal RNA is filed under the name uncultured bacterium. RNAcentral describes it as "partial 16S ribosomal RNA". It matches the Rfam family "Bacterial small subunit ribosomal RNA", at positions 29 to 523 of the family's 1533-position model. The record is from RNAcentral.
AGUGAACGCUGGCGGUAGGCCUAACACAUGCAAGUCGAACGGCAGCACAGAGGAGCUUGCUCCUUGGGUGGCGAGUGGCGGACGGGUGAGGAAUACAUCGGAAUCUACUCUGUCGUGGGGGAUAACGUAGGGAAGCUUACGCUAAUACCGCAUACGACCUACGGGUGAAAGCAGGGGACCUUCGGGCCUUGCGCGAUUGAAUGAGCCGAUGUCGGAUUAGCUAGUUGGCGGGGUAAAGGCCCACCAAGGCGACGAUCCGUAGCUGGUCUGAGAGGAUGAUCAGCCACACUGGAACGGAGACACGGUCCAGACUCCUACGGGAGGCAGCAGUGGGGAAUAUUGGACAAUGGGCGCAAGCCUGAUCCAGCCAUACCGCGUGGGUGAAGAAGGCCUUCGGGUUGUAAAGCCCUUUUGUUGGGAAAGAAAUCCAGCUGGCUAAUACCCGGCUGGGAUGACGGUACCCAAAGAAUAAGCACCGGCUAACUUCGUGCCAGCCGCCGCAGUAA